RNAcentral lists this signal recognition particle RNA (100 nucleotides) under Bacteroidales bacterium. RNAcentral describes it as "signal recognition particle sRNA small type". It matches the Rfam family "Bacteroidales small SRP". Rfam says of the family: The non-coding component of the signal recognition particle in Bacteroides Lineage: Bacteria; Pseudomonadati; Bacteroidota; Bacteroidia; Bacteroidales. RNAcentral also lists the same sequence under 1 other name. The record is from RNAcentral.
GGGUAAGUCCUACACGACCAGCUCCCUCUGAACUCCCCCAGGUCCUGACCGAAGCAAGGGUAAGAGGUUGUAGCGGUGCGAUGUAGUCAGCUUACCCUUU